This 252-nucleotide ribosomal RNA is filed under the name uncultured bacterium. Its description in RNAcentral is "partial 16S ribosomal RNA". It matches the Rfam family "Bacterial small subunit ribosomal RNA", at positions 524 to 776 of the family's 1533-position model. The record is from RNAcentral.
UACGUAGGUGGCAAGCGUUAUCCGGAUUUAUUGGGUUUAAAGGGUGCGUAGGCGGGUUAUCAAGUCAGCGGUAAAAUCGUGGAGCUCAACUCCAUCCAGCCGUUGAAACUGAUGAUCUUGAGUGGGCGAGAAGUAUGCGGAAUGCGUGGUGUAGCGGUGAAAUGCAUAGAUAUCACGCAGAACUCCGAUUGCGAAGGCAGCAUACCGGCGCCCGACUGACGCUGAAGCACGAAAGCGUGGGUAUCGAACAGG